RNAcentral lists this transfer RNA (73 nucleotides) under Streptococcus pneumoniae. Its description in RNAcentral is "tRNA-Gly(tcc)". It matches the Rfam family "tRNA". From Rfam's summary of the family: Transfer RNA (tRNA) molecules are approximately 80 nucleotides in length. Their secondary structure includes four short double-helical elements and three loops (D, anti-codon, and T loops). Lineage: Bacteria; Bacillati; Bacillota; Bacilli; Lactobacillales; Streptococcaceae. RNAcentral also lists the same sequence under 2 other names. The record is from RNAcentral.
NGCGGGUGUAGUUUAGUGGUAAAACUACAGCCUUCCAAGCUGUUGUCGCGAGUUCGAUUCUCGUCACCCGCUU